RNAcentral lists this long non-coding RNA (3546 nucleotides) under Callithrix jacchus (white-tufted-ear marmoset). RNAcentral describes it as "lncRNA (ENSCJAG00000077749.1)". The record is from RNAcentral. Lineage: Eukaryota; Metazoa; Chordata; Mammalia; Primates; Cebidae.
AAGCCAAAGAAUUUAGAGCAAGUCCACGUGGACAUGCAGGUCUCCGCGAGCGAGGAUUUCCUGCGAGGCCGAUCGCGAGGAAGUGCCGGCCCAGAGGCUCGGGCGCGGUGUCUCCCCGGGACCGCGGCCGGCUGAGAAGCCCGGGGCGCUCGCCAGGAGCGGGGACGUCUUCGGUGUUGUGGGGACGGAAGGAGGCGACGCAGGCCCGGAGACGUGCGCGUAGGCGGCGAGGGGGCGCUGUGGCCCGUGCCUGCCGGCCGGAGUCCCACCAGCGGUGGGCGCGACCCACCUCCUCCCACGGCGGCUUAAUUCGGGAAACUAGAAAAAACACAUCAAGGCAUUUCAAUAAAACCUAAGCGGCUCCGGAUCCUUUCUCAUUGUGGUUCCUUAUGAGCUCUUGGUGUUUGGGGAGAAACAGUUACCGUUCCGCGAUGUGUCCAACUAUUUUGAAAAUUGACAUUAAAUAGACACAUUUUAUGUGGGUUUCCUUGAAUGAAGUAACACUUGAAAUAUAAGUAGUAUCACUGUAUCAAAUCAUACGGCUACCGUAUUUACGGUCUCCGGCCCUCCCUCUCCAGGGCUCCCCGCGUGUUUGUGGAGAGACAGAGCGAGGCAGGUACAGGGGGCCGGGGACUCGAGAAGCUUGGCUAAGCAUUUUUUUUCUUUGAAAACAAAUACUGUGUUAUAAAUUGAACAAAAUUUAAGUCAACAUGGAACGCACAUGUCCUUCAAACGUCGUUUACGGGUCUAGUACUCUGCGAAUAGGUGGGACUGGAUUUCACGCGCAACCGGCAUUUCUAGGCUUUCAAAGACGCUUCUGACGCCUAAAUGUUCUCCUGGAAGACACUCGCAGAGGAACAUCCGUGGUAGACUGAGGAGUCCCCGCAGCCCCCGUCCUGGCAGAAUGUGCAAGGCCUCCCGAGCUCCCGGUUUCUGCGAGGUCUCACCAAGGCUAACUCGUCCCUCCCGGCUUCCUACAGUGCUCCGCAAAACUUGCCCUCCUCCCACAGAUGCCCCGCCUCCGACGUGCUUCCUGAAGCUUCUCUCCCGCGCAGCGGUCCCGACAGUCCAGAAUUCUCCAGCCUCUCGCCGACUCCAUUUCUACCCUCCUCUCGUCUCCGUCCCGGCGCUGGCUUCACCCUCUUUCCCUCCUCCUCCUUCCUACCUGCCCCGCCCCCUUCCCAGCUCGUCCCUCUCCUCGCCUGGGUCCGCACCCCUCGUGGCCAGGCGCCCGCCGCAAAUCCAGGCCGAGUCCCGCCACGCUGGGCCGCUCGUGGGCUGCUCUCACCCAGCGAUCCCUGGAAACGGCGCGUCCCGCCAGCUGCGGCUCCAGCCCGGGAGGGAGCGCGGCUCCGGGACCUGCAGCGCCUGGAGAGCGAGGAGACCGGCGCUCCUUGGCAAUGGACAGUCCUGAGAUCCUUGAAGGGAUCGCAGAGGAAGGAGACCCGCUUCAGAAUCAGCAACGACCUGGCCGCCUCAGUUCCUCAACCGGAGACGGUUCGAAGAUGAAACGUUGGAAACUCCACCGCCGUUUCAGCUUUGCGCACACGCGCACGGCAGGCCCAGGCCCACAGGAGACGCGGGCACGCGCGCACUCGCGCUUGCCAGAGAGGUCGGCGCGUCUCGCUGCAGCUGUUCUGGUCAAGCGGAGUUGUCAGGGUUUUGUUUUGUUUUUGUUUUGUCUUUUAAAAGUGUUUUACAAGACCGUCUUCAGCAGGACUUAGCUCCCUCAACCCUCCGUCCCUCCAACGGCUUCUCCGUGGCUUUGCAAUCUGCUUUUUAGACACCAGAGCGCACCUCGGUGCCGGCGCCCAGGAGGCUGCGGAGAGCGCAGGGGUCCAGUCCAUCCCGGCGUGAGCAGAUGGGACUCCUCGCUCGAAAGAAACCACUGGAGAAAAGGAAAUAUUUUCUCGAGUGGUUUUGCAAUUAUUUUAAUCAAACAGGCGAGGCUCUGAAGAGCGUUUGUCUUGAGGCCGUGUUGAAUACCCUUUGCAAACUCUCAGUUCGGCGUGUGUGCCCGAAACCAAUAGCCCUAACCGGGGCUCCGCAGCACACUCCUCCUUCCCACACUCUAGGGCAGGCGUCUACACCCCUGGGCUACAUAGGCAGGGGGAGGGAAGGGUUGGGGUUUGCUUUCUUUGCUUUUAUUUUUAUUUUUAUUUUUCCAAAUAUGGCUGGGAAUGCAGAGAUUGUAAAAAUGAAUACAUUUGAGUGUGUUAAAAGUGAAAACUUCUCUUGGACAGAACAGAAACUGCUGACCCCAGCGGGGGAGAAGAUACUCGCUGCACUUGUAAAUAACAUAGCCUGCUCUACAGCGCCAGGAGGCAUUCUGACUGCCAGUGGGUGAAAACGAAGCACCCAGAGAAACAAAGGGACAGGGAGAGGAGAUGGCCGAGGGUGCUCGCGUUCUCUGCUUGUCUAUGCCCGGACAACCGGAGAUGCCGCUUCUCAUCCAUCGGUGACACCAGGCAAGGCCUAGAGUGUGCACAGUCGAAACUCUCUCCCUGCCCUGCAGCUGGACUUUCUUUUUUUUCUUUUCUUUUUUUUUUUUUUUUUUUUUUUGAGACGGAGUGUCGCUCUUGUUACCUAGGCUGGAGUGCAAUGGCGUGAUCUCGGCUCACCGCAACCUCCGCCUCCUGGGUUCAGGCAAUUCUCCUGCCUCAGCCUCCUGAGUAGCUGGGAUUACAGGCACGUGCCACAGUGCCCAGCUAAUUUUUUGUAUUUUUAGUAGAGACGGGGUUUCACCAUGUUGACCAGAAUGGUCUCGAUCUCUUGACCUCGUGAUCCACCCGCCUCGGCCUCCCAAAGUGCUGGGAUUACAGGCGUGAGCCACCGCGCCCGGCCUGCAGCUGGACUUUCUAUAGAGAAAUGCACAGACUUCUGGUCACAUCUCAAAGAGCACAGAGGUGCUGGGGAGGUGGGGACGAGGCCACCCUGGAGCACUGCCCGCAGGAGUGCAAAACUGGAAAACUCCUCCAUGGCCACCACUCCAGGCCUGGAUAAAGAAUUCGGGGCAUAUUUCACGGAACAGAAUGUCCCUCAGGGCGAAAGGGGAUGAAGUCAUUCUACUUGUAACAACUUGAGUGCCUCCUAAAAGUGUAACCUUGGGGGCGGGGAUACAAAAGGCUGAUGCUUACAGUGGAAUUUUAAAACAAACCAAUAUUUUGUGGUGUCCACAGGCGUGAGGGUGGGGGAGCUUCAGCGUCACCACGGAACAAAAGUGUCCCACACCUCCGCACCUCCACAUCUCCGGGCUCUUUAAGGAGGGAGCGGGCCUGCAAGGAGGACUCAAACUGUUAGCCAUGUUUUAUUUCUGAAAAAUAGAUCUGAAUUAACCGUAGCAAAAUGUUAACAAACUUGGAAUACUGAUGACAUGGGAUUAUAUGACUCUACUUUUUCAUCAUGUGAAAUAUUUUAUGCUUUGGCCAUUAAAAUUAAAGCUUUUUAUAAAAGUGUCAUAUCCACUGAAGUAUAAUGUGCUAAUUUGGGAUUGAUUCAUUUAAAUAAAACAACUUUCUUCAAAUAUUUUAUUUUUAAUGUCUCUUU